AUCCCAUGAUGAUGACAGGAAAGGAUGUAUUCUUGCAGCCUUUCCCAAGCCUCAAGAAUUGACUCCAUCACUGUCUGCUGGAAACUUGAGAUCUUCCCACACAGGGU
This is a small nucleolar RNA of Panicum hallii, 107 nucleotides long. NCBI's taxonomy places the organism in Eukaryota, Viridiplantae, Streptophyta, Magnoliopsida, Poales, Poaceae. The record is from RefSeq and is a predicted model, not a curated record.